This 114-nucleotide non-coding RNA is filed under the name Sanguibacter keddieii. Its description in RNAcentral is "SAM-IV sequence". It matches the Rfam family "SAM (S-adenosyl methionine) riboswitch aptamer". From Rfam's summary of the family: SAM-IV is a mRNA element that regulates gene expression via direct sensing of S-adenosylmethionine (SAM or AdoMet). SAM-IV riboswitches share conserved nucleotide positions with the previously described SAM-I riboswitches sequence analysis and molecular recognition experiments suggest that SAM-I and SAM-IV riboswitches share similar ligand binding sites, but have different scaffolds. The record is from RNAcentral. Lineage: Bacteria; Bacillati; Actinomycetota; Actinomycetes; Micrococcales; Sanguibacteraceae.
GGUCAUGAGUGCCAGCGCGUAACCCCGGUUUGCUGGCCGGCAACCCUCCUCCGCGGUGGGGUGCCCCGGGUGACGACCUGGCCGGACCCAGACGGGCUCCGGCAAGCGCGGGAC